RNAcentral lists this ribosomal RNA (468 nucleotides) under uncultured bacterium. RNAcentral describes it as "partial 16S ribosomal RNA". It matches the Rfam family "Bacterial small subunit ribosomal RNA", at positions 28 to 507 of the family's 1533-position model. The record is from RNAcentral.
GAUGAACGCUGGCGGCGUGCUUAACACAUGCAAGUCGAACGGAAAGGCCCAAGCUUGCUUGGGUACUCGAGUGGCGAACGGGUGAGUAACACGUGGGUGAUCUGCCCUGCACUUCGGGAUAAGCCUGGGAAACUGGGUCUAAUACCGGAUAGGACGAUGGUUUGGAUGCCAUUGUGGAAAGUUUUUUCGGUGUGGGAUUAGCUCGCGGCCUAUCAGCUUGUUGGUGGGGUAAUGGCCUACCAAGGCGUCGACGGGUAUCCGGCCCGAGAGAGUGUACGGCCACAUUGGGACUGAGAUACGGCCCAGACUCCGACGGGAGGCAGCAGUGGGGAAUAUUGCACAAUGGGCGCAAGCCUGAUGCAGCGAGGCCGCGUGGGGGAUGACGGCCUUCGGGUUGUAAACACCUUUCGCUAGGGACGAAGCGUUUUUGUGACGGUACCUGGAGAAGAAGCACCGGCUAACUACGUG